This 395-nucleotide RNase P RNA is filed under the name Bacteroidia bacterium. Its description in RNAcentral is "RNase P RNA component class A". It matches the Rfam family "Bacterial RNase P class A". Rfam says of the family: Ribonuclease P (RNase P) is a ubiquitous endoribonuclease, found in archaea, bacteria and eukarya as well as chloroplasts and mitochondria. Its best characterised activity is the generation of mature 5'-ends of tRNAs by cleaving the 5'-leader elements of precursor-tRNAs. The record is from RNAcentral. Lineage: Bacteria; Pseudomonadati; Bacteroidota; Bacteroidia.
UAAGCAAAUCGUUCUAUCGCUUCAUUUAAUUGGAGAGGAAAGUCCGGGCAACAAAGAGCGCCAUACUUCCUAACAGGAAGGUUGUAUUUGAUUUAUUGGAUGCAAACAGCUAGUGCCGCAGAAAAUAACCGCCAGGUUUAUUCACGUGAUAAACAAGGUAAGGGUGAAAAUGUGAGGUAAGAGCUCACAACUAGGCUAAGUGAUUGGUUUAGUGGGUAAACCUUAUGGGUUGAAAAACCAAAUAAAUCCUGAAUUUGAAGCUGCUCGCUUCAAGUAUUUAAACUUUCAGGAAGGGUAGGUUGAUGGAGGAAUGGAGCAAUCUGUUUCCCAGAUAAAUGAUAGAAGAUGCAUUUUUGGAUGCAUUACAGAACCCGGCUUAUAGAUUUGCUUUUUUA